UGUGGGUCGUGAUGUAAUGUGAUGAACUCAGGCGAGCAAGAGAGAGGGGACUCCUGAUUGAGAGAAUCUGAAGCACAUCCUCUAACUCAGAAUCGGAGGUUAUUCUCAGCUCACUGUAUCCUACAUGAGACAACAGAUCGAAUCCAGUUUUUCCAGGGAUAUUGUAAGGUUACUGAACCAAAAAUUUUAUCCCUCAUCUGUUUGAAGCUAUCUCGACUAUUCAAGCAUCGUGGAUAAGGAAUCUUGGUUUUAGUGGCCAUAGUCACCAAAGAUUUCAGUUGCUGGGCAUUAGGCCUUGUCUUCCAAGGCUUACUGCAACAAGAACAAGGCCUUGUCUUAAUACAAUGAGGAAUCGAGUCCCUUUUUAGUAACUUUCCACGAGCUCCAUUUCCACCAGUAUGUAGCCUCAACUUUUGCAUUUUGGAGUUGAAUCUGGGUUUAUUGUUUGUUGAGGCAAAUGAACAAAGACAUGCAUCACACAUCUCAUUGCCAUCAACAAGCUUAUUAUGUUUGUAGCACGAAACUAAAGAUGAUAUCUCCAAUCUAUGGUUGGUACAGAAGAGAUUCCUAUAAUUAUGAGGGUUUUCUUUGCCCAAAAGAUGAUCAAGCCUGGAGCACAAAAUGCAAGGCGUUUGGAAGUUGCAACUAUGUGCAAGUUUAGUCAAAACAUAUGACAACAAAGCAUCAAUAAGCAUUAGAAAAAUGAGAAACCAUUCAUAAGCUGCAGACUUUAGAAUGGCUGCAAAGCCCUCUACACUCCUUUGAGCUUUAUAAAAUGCUUUUCCUUUUGCUGCCA
Molecule: long non-coding RNA, 796 nt
Organism: Cucurbita maxima (winter squash)
Lineage: Eukaryota; Viridiplantae; Streptophyta; Magnoliopsida; Cucurbitales; Cucurbitaceae
Exons: 2
Source: RefSeq, a predicted model, not a curated record